CUCAUACUGGUCUCAUGAGCGAGAUGGGAUAGGGCGCGAAACACACCCUGCGCCGGUCCGAGAGGCAACCGAGGAUCAACGAGGAGUAAGAGGCAUCCUAUUGAAGAUUCACCAUGUUUGCCGCUGCCGAGUGUCACGAACGCAGCCUGGGUAGUCUGGAAAAUAUGAAGACAACUACGCUCCCUGCCAAAGAACAAAGGACGAGAGAAGGUUCGAGCUUCAGUCGGGAAUCAAAUUACUGCUGGCUAAUUAGCAUCGGUGAAACUGAAACGUAAUGGAUAAUAAAACCAAGAUUGGACUCACCAGGCAUGCCGGGAAGUGAUCGGCCGAAUCUGAUAGAUAUGUCUAUACUCUAGUGGGUAUAUAAAUUUUCAGGAGUCGCGGAGCCAAUAGCGGCUCGCGUCUCGUAAUUAAUCACGGUGUCGUAACGGAGCUCCCGUAUCGAAAAUCGUUUCGAGUCGUCCGAGCUACGUCAUGAAAUAUUUAAACCUCCAAUGCCGAGCGACUAGGAAGAUAGUCGUAAUGCUAUUUUCAGUACGCCCGCCCGCUCGCGGUAGCCGAGUGUUGACGUAUCGCGGAAA
Molecule: long non-coding RNA, 581 nt
Organism: Temnothorax curvispinosus
Lineage: Eukaryota; Metazoa; Arthropoda; Insecta; Hymenoptera; Formicidae
Exons: 3
Source: RefSeq, a predicted model, not a curated record